Molecule: long non-coding RNA, 624 nt
Filed under: Mus spicilegus (steppe mouse)
Lineage: Eukaryota; Metazoa; Chordata; Mammalia; Rodentia; Muridae
Description: lncRNA (ENSMSIG00000001282.1)
Source: RNAcentral
AUUUGUCUGGCACAUGGGGAGUUCUGACUUCGGUUCCUAGCAUUCACAUGGACAAAAUACCAACAGCAUAACAAAACAUGGAAGACAAGAAGAGGCAGAGACAUCGAGCCAGGUGUACCCUUGCCAGAGGGAGGGAGCAUCCAAGUAGCCACUAAGAGGGGAGCAGAGACCCUGCCAGAGGAUUCAGGCUGUCCACAGGGGUGCAAGAACUGGGUCUCUGUAUAUAGGGGAGCUGAGGCCAGGCAGGAGAAGAGCAACAGGAACCUGGGAGCUUCUUGUCACCCUUAGAAGGGGCAGAAUCUUGGGGGAGGGGAAGAGAGGAGAAGUCAUUUUUUGUUGUUGUUGUUUCGUUUUGUAUUUACUGACUUCUCCUAAUUACUUUCAAAGAGUUCAAAUAUUAGUGGAAGAGACUUUGCCAGAUGAGGAUCUGAAAACCAUACAGAAGCAAGAUUUGGCACCCGCAUCCAAGAGCUGCUUCAGGUUAAGUGUAUACAUCCAGACCACAGAUUCAACAGUGUGAAGAACUGAAGGGGAUUUCAAGGAAUCAAGAAAGUAGACUUGAAAGAGAGGCGUCACACACAGAAGCUUGUCAUGGUAGCACUUUCCAGCUCAAGAGGAAAGCUG